This 465-nucleotide ribosomal RNA is filed under the name uncultured bacterium. Its description in RNAcentral is "partial 16S ribosomal RNA". It matches the Rfam family "Bacterial small subunit ribosomal RNA", at positions 338 to 795 of the family's 1533-position model. The record is from RNAcentral.
CCUACGGGAGGCAGCAGUGGGGAAUUUUGCGCAAUGCUCGUAAGAGUGACGCAGCGACGCCGCGUGAAUGACGAAGGCCUUCGGGUCGUAAAGUUCUAUCGACAGGGAAGAAAAUGCCUAUAAGUAACUGUGUAUGUAUUGACGGUACCUGUCUAAGCAGCCCCGGCUAACUAAGUGCCAGCACCCGCGGUAAUACGUAGGGGUCAAGCGUUAUCCGGAAUUACUGGGGGUAAGGGGUGCGUAGACGGCUGUGCAAGUCUGUGGUGAAAGGCGGGGGCCCAACCCCCGGACUGUACUGGAAACUGUAUGGCUGGAGUGCAGGAGAGGUAAGCGGAAUUCCUAGUGUAGCGGUGAAAUGCGUAGAUAUUAGGAGGAACACCAGUGGCGAAGGCGGCUUACUGGACUGUAACUGACGUUGAGGCUCGAAAGCGUGGGGAGCAAACAGGAUUAGAUACCCGGGUAGUC